RNAcentral lists this non-coding RNA (24 nucleotides) under Arabidopsis thaliana (thale cress). The record is from RNAcentral. Lineage: Eukaryota; Viridiplantae; Streptophyta; Magnoliopsida; Brassicales; Brassicaceae.
UUGGUCCACAACGGUUUAUUGUCU